GAUGAACGCUAGCGAUAGGCUUAACACAUGCAAGUCGAGGGGCAGCAUGGUCUUAGCUUGCUAAGGCUGAUGGCGACCGGCGCACGGGUGCGUAACGCGUAUGCAACUUGCCUCACAGAGGGGGAUAACCCGUCGAAAGACGGACUAAUACCGCGUACACUCCAUCUUGGGCAUCCAAGGUAGAGGAAAUGAAAUUCGCUGUGAGAUAGGCAUGCGUCCCAUUAGCUAGUUGGUGAGGUAACGGCUCACCAAGGCGACGAUGGGUAGGGGAACUGAGAGGUUGAACCCCCACACUGGUACUGAGACACGGACCAGACUCCUACGGGAGGCAGCAGUGAGGAAUAUUGGUCAAUGGGCGAGAGCCUGAACCAGCCAAGUCGCGUGAAGGAUGACUGUCUUAUGGAUUGUAAACUUCUUUUAUACGGGAAUAACAAGAGUCACGUGUGACUCCCUGCAUGUACCGUAUGAAUAAGCAUCGGCUAACUCCGUG
This 490-nucleotide ribosomal RNA is filed under the name uncultured bacterium. RNAcentral's name for it is "partial 16S ribosomal RNA". It matches the Rfam family "Bacterial small subunit ribosomal RNA", at positions 28 to 507 of the family's 1533-position model. The record is from RNAcentral.